CAAGCAAAUCGCUGAUGAAGGAGGGCACAGAUCGGUAGAUCCGGAAGCGUCGAUUUCGCGGAAUCGACGAGGAAGAAGUAGCAAAGGGUUUAGCCAGAUGUGAGGAACUUACGACCAACGCUGACGAGGGGAGGUGAGGCGACGACCGGAGGUGGGGCCGAAGAGGAGGUGAGGCGAGGGGAGGUGAGGCGAUGAUAGGAGGUGAGACCGGAGGAGAUGUGAGGCGGCGACGAGGGGAGGUGAGGCGAUGAGGGGAGGUGAGGCCGGAGGGGAGGUGAGGCGACGACCGGAGGUGAGGCCGGAGGGGAGGUAAGGCGACGACCGGAGGUGAUGAGGCGAAGAUCAGAGGUGAAGCAACGAGAGGGGAGGACAGGCGACGAGCGAUGGUGAGGUCGGAGCGAAGGUGAGGCCGAAGGGGAGGUGAGGUGACGACCGAAGGUGAUGCGGCGAAGACCGGAGGUGAGGCAACGAGAGGGGAGGACAGGCGACAAGCGAAGGUGAGGCCGGAGCGAAGGUGAGGCCGGGGGGGCUUCGGGCCGAGGUGAAGGGGAUCCGACGGUUAACCUUGGAGAGCAAGGCGUGGGAGAGGGGCGUGAAGCUUGGGGAGCAAGGCGUGAGAAUGAGGAGGAAGAGAAAGAAGCUGGAGAGGAGAAAGAGGAGAGUGGAGCUCGGGAAAUGUGCAGGGAUAAAGCUGGGAGGGGGUGGGGUU
Molecule: long non-coding RNA, 709 nt
Filed under: Ananas comosus (pineapple)
Lineage: Eukaryota; Viridiplantae; Streptophyta; Magnoliopsida; Poales; Bromeliaceae
Description: long non-coding RNA (ACOM_LNC029258)
Source: RNAcentral